CCUACGGGAGGCAGCAGUGGGGAAUUUUGGACAAUGGGCGCAAGCCUGAUCCAGCAAUGCCGCGUGAGUGAAGAAGGCCUUCGGGUUGUAAAGCUCUUUCAGUCGAGAAGAAAAAGCUGCAGUGAAUAACUGUAGUUCAUGACGGUAUCGACAGAAGAAGCACCGGCUAACUACGUGCCAGCAGCCGCGGUAAUA
RNAcentral lists this ribosomal RNA (195 nucleotides) under uncultured bacterium. RNAcentral's name for it is "partial 16S ribosomal RNA". It matches the Rfam family "Bacterial small subunit ribosomal RNA", at positions 338 to 525 of the family's 1533-position model. The record is from RNAcentral.